CUAGGAGAUACACCUGUACCCAUGCCGAACACAGCAGUUAAGCCCUAGAACGCCUGAAGUAGUUGGGGGUUGCCCCCCUGUUAGAUACGGUAGUCGCUUAGC
RNAcentral lists this ribosomal RNA (102 nucleotides) under Streptococcus suis. Lineage: Bacteria; Bacillati; Bacillota; Bacilli; Lactobacillales; Streptococcaceae. The record is from RNAcentral.